GUAGAUGAUGUUGCAAUCACUAAGGCUUUGGGGUUGCACAAGAAUAAGAAACGUUAAUGGGUUAUUCUAAAACUUAUGCAGAUUGUGAUGGUGGGCGUGGAUUGAUAAGCUAAGCUCGGGUAUUUUAAUAGCAUGAUAAAAGCUUUUGUUACUGGGUAUAAGGUGAGGAAGAAGAACCAAAAGAUCAAUGGAAGGGAAGUAGAAGAAGAAAGAAAAGAAAGAAGGGGAAAGAGAGAUAUCGGGCCAAACCAAUAUUGAAACAAGGAGAAAUUGAAAAACUGAUUGAUCCAAAGCUGGGAGGGGCCUAUGAUGUUACUCAGCUGAAAAUACUUGCCUUUGCUGCAUCACUUUGCAUAAGGUCACUCACAAAAUGGUGGCCUACCAUCACCAAGGUAUUAAAAAAACCCUUUUAAUGACAUA
Molecule: long non-coding RNA, 420 nt
Organism: Humulus lupulus (European hop)
Lineage: Eukaryota; Viridiplantae; Streptophyta; Magnoliopsida; Rosales; Cannabaceae
Exons: 3
Source: RefSeq, a predicted model, not a curated record